CUCAUGAUCCGCCUGCUUCAGCCUCCCAAAGUGCUGGGAUUACAGAUGUGAGCCACCGCGCCCAGCUGAGAGUUUUUCUUUUGCAUCAUAGUUUAAGUCUACAAAUAAUUGCCCCUUUUAAAACAGUUAUUUAACAGAAGAAAUAGAAAAAUACACAAUUUAGGAAGUACAAACCCAGGAUUCUGUGGUGCAAGGAUGGUACCAGGGCUUGUGGUCUGUGAUAAUAGAAGAUUGAAGCUUCUGAUAUUAAGCACGACAGAGACAAAGGAGUCGUUUCAUGACAGCAAAUUACUUUUCCCUAAUGGUUCUGGAUCUUUCAUUAGUAAGAAGGAUGUCUAUAUUUGAUACACUUUCUGUAAAAGUGAGGUAGGUUAUGAACUUAGGAAUUCUUUUUUCCUCAGGGAAAUGUUUCUCUUUCUGUAGAACUCGACACGUGUUGAUCUAUUGAGUAUCAAGCAACCAAAACCUAAAAACCUCCUCCCAGCAUCAUGCCAUGCCCAGCGUGUUUCUUGAGUAGUACUUGCAUUGUAUGUUUUCUUUUAGAGACUAACUUAAUAAAAAGAUAUAAUUUAAAACACCCAGAGGACUAGUUAGAUGCCAUCUUCCUCCAAAAUGGAGUUGGACUCCAUUUUCUCUUCCUUCCCUCCAGUUUUAAUUUUAUAAACUAAAUACCUGACAAUUUAUAUCUAUAAAGCCUGUUGAGAUCAUGGAAUAUUAGCACUUAUUGUUGCUGAUUGAGAGAAGACUCACAAUUCUUGAAUAUUGGAUGAAGCAGUGGAUAGGAUGUCAUUGAUGUUCUGCCAAAAAAGUUCAUGUAUUAAACCAAAGUUCCUUCUUGAAUAGAAGACUGUCCCAUCUCUACCCAUAGGCUCCACUUCACAGGUCCAAGAGCCCAUCAGAAAGAAGAUUGGUAGAAUUAUUACUUUGUCAACCAAUUAGAAGGCCUGCCAAAUAUGAGAUGUAUAAAAAUAAUUUCAGUGCUGUUUCCCCAUUUUCUUUCCUGAGAAUCUCUAGUUUUCUCAUCAUAUCAUUAAAAGCCCAAAACGAAACAAAAUAUUAUUUGUAUUUUUCAAAAAAUUGAUUAUCCAGAGGAAACUCCAGCUUUCUAGUGUAGUAUUUUCUAACUUUGGAGGAAAUCAAGAGCCUUAAGGACUACAUAUCACUUAGUAAAGGGUAGAAACUUAUGGGAAUAAGAAUUUUCUCUAACAUUGGGAAGGCUGGGAGAGGUUCUAGUGCUUCAGGAGGAUUUCAGAUUCCCCCACCGUGGGCCUAAUUAUUUCAUAGACUCAGUUCAGCUAAACUACCAUCAUAAAAGGCAGACAUACAUGGUUGCCCCAAUUAUAAAAUCAGUUGACAUCAAGUUUUCCAGAUUAAAUCACUAGUGAUGGAUUGAUUUCUGGAUCCAGGAAGCAUAUUCUUUUUUUUUUUUUUUUUUGGGUUGGGGGAGGGACAGGUUUUCUCUCUGUUGCCAAGGCUGGAGUGCAGUAGCAUGAUCCCCAGCUCACUGCAGCUUCCACCUCCCAGGCUCAAGCAGUCCUCCCAUCUCAGCCUCCUAAGUAGCUAGGAUUACAGACUGUGCCACCACACCCAACCAAUUUUUUAUUUUAUGUAUGUAUGUAUUUAUUUAUUUAUUUGGAGAGACAGGGUUUUGUCAUGUUGUCCGGGCUGAUCUUCACCACACCCAGCCAAUUUUUUUGUUUGUUUGUUUUGUUUGGAGAGACAGGGUUUUGUCUUGUUGUCCGGGCUGAUCUUGAACUCCUGGGCUCAAGCAGUCCACCCACCUUGGCCUCCCAAAGUGCUGGGAUUGUUGGCAUGAGCUACCAUGCCCAACUGCAUAUUCUGACAGCAGCCCAUUUCAAGGCCAGUGAGGUGUUGUUGUUGUUGUUGUUGUUGUUGUUGUUGUUGUUGUUGUUGUUUGAGAUGGAGUCUUGCUCUGUCACCCAGGCUGGAGUGCAGUGGUGCGAUCUCAGCUCACUGAAUCCUCCACUUCCCAGGUUCAAGCGAUUCUCCUGCCUCAGCCUCCUGAGUAGCUGGGAUUACAGUCACAUACCACCAUGCCCAGCUAAUUUUUAUAUUUUUAGUAGAGACCGGGUUUCCCCAUGUUGGCCAGACUGGUCUCAAACUCCUGACCUCAGGUGGUCCAUCCACCUCGGCCUCCCAAAGUGCUGGGAUUACAGGCAUGAGCCACCACACUCGGCUGGCCAGUGAGUUUUAUUAGAUAAAAAGUAUGUAGAGAAUGUUUGAAAUUAUAUUUAUAACAGAAAAUGAAUGACCAUAUUCAUUUUGUUUUCUUUAUAAAAUAAGCUUCUUCUAAACAGUGAAAUGAUAUUUUUUCCUAGUUUUAUUAAGGUUUAGUUGGCAAAUAAAAAUUGUGUACAUUGACUGUGUACAAUGCAAUGUUUGAUGUAUGUAUACCUUGUGAAAUGAUUAAAUCCAGCUAAUCAACAUAUUCAUCAUCUCACAUAUUUUGUGGUGAGAAAAUUUAAAAUCUGCUAUUUUAGCAAUUUUCAAGUGUACAAUAUGUUGUUAACUAUAGUCACCGUGCUUCACAAUAGAUCAACAGAAUUCCUGUCUAACUGAAACUGUGUACCCUUUGAACAACAUCUCCCCAUGUUCCUCUGUGCCGCCCCCUUCCCACUGCCCCUUGCUCCUGGCAACUGCCACUCUACUCUCUGCUGCUAUGAAUUUGAUUUUUUAAGAUUCCGCAUGUAAGUGAGAUCAUACAAUGUUUGUCUCUCUGUCCCUGGCUUAUUUCAUUUAACAUAAUGUCCUCCAGGUUCAUCCACAUUGUUGAAAAUGACAGAAUUUCUUUCUUUGUAAACCCUGAAUAGUAGUAUUACAUUGUAUAUGUAUAUAUAUAUUAUAUAUAUAUCACAUUUUCUUUAUCCAUUCAUCUGUCAAUGGACACCUAAGUUGAUUCCACAUCUUGACUGUUAUGAAUAAUGCUGCAAUGAAUAUGAGAAUGUAGAUAUCUUUUCAAGAUACUUAUUUCAUUUCUUUUGGCUAUAUACCCAAAAAUGGGAUUGUUGCAUUAUAUGGUAGUUCUAUUUUUUAUUUUUUUAGAAACCUGCAGACUUAUUUUCUGUAAUAGCUAUUAUAAUUUACAUUCCCACCAACAGUGUAUAAGAGUUCCCUUUCUCCACAUCCUCACCAACACUUUUCUUUUGUCUGUUUGAUAAUAACCAUUCUAACAGAUGUGAGGUGAUAUCUUAUUGUGGUUUUAAAUUUUGUUUCCCUGAUGUCUAGUGAUGUUAAACAUUUUUUCAUAUACCUGUUGGCCAUUUGGAUGUCUUCUUUUGAGAAAUGUCUUUUCAGGUUCAUUUUUAAUUGGGUUGUUUAUUUUCUUGCUAUUGAGUUCUUUGAGUUCCCUAUAUGUUUUGGAUAUUGGAUAUUAACCCUUUAUCAGAUGAUUGGUUCACAAAUGUUUUCUCUCAUUCCAUAGGUUGCAUCUUCAUUCUAUUGAUUUUUUUUUUUUUUUUGCUGUGUCAAAACUUUUUAUCUGAUGCAACACCAUUUGUCUUUUUCUUUUCUUUUUUUUUUUUCUUUCUUUCUUUUUUUUUUUUUUUUUUUUUUUGCCCCUGUUGCUUGUGUUUUGGGGAUCAUAUCCAAAAAUUAUUUCCCCUACCAAUAUCAAGAAGCUUUUUCCCCAUGUUUUUUCAUCUAGUAGUUUUAUAAUUUCAGGUUUUACAUUUAAGGCUUUAAUCUAUCUUGAGUUGAAUUUUGUGUAUUGUACGAGAUAAGGGUCUAAUUUCAUUCUUCCUCAUGUAGAUAUCCAGUUUUCCCUGCACCAUUUGUUAAAGAUGCUGUCCUUUUCCUAUUUUGCAUUUUUGGUACCUUCGUUGUAGAUCAUUUGACCCUAAAGAUGUGGAUUAAUUUCUGGGCUCUCUGUUAUGUUCCCUUGGAUUAUAUGUUUGUUUUCAUGACAGUACCAUGCUGUUUUGAUUACUAUAGCUUUAUAGUGUAUUUUUAAAUCAGGUAGUAUGAUGCUUCAAGCUUUGUUCUUUUUGCUCGAGAUUGGAGUAUUUGAGGUGGUUUCAUACGAAUUUUAGGAUUGCUUUUUCUAUUUCUGUGAAAAAUCUCAUUAGAAUUUUGAUAGGUAUUGCAUUGAAUCUACAAAUUGCUGUGGGUGCUAUGGAAAUUUUAACAGUAUUCAUUUUUCUAAUUCAUGAACACAGGAUAUCUUUCCAUUUAUUUGUGGGACAAUAUUUUUUACACAUUCUUGGUUUCAAGUUCAUUGCUUCUAGAAUUCUGAUGGUCCUUGAAACCGAAUGCUAAGAUUAUUGAGUAAAAGUUAGCUACAGCUGUGACUGAAAUUACAGAAGAGAAACUUGCUCUUAAAUUUUCUGUGCUUCAGUGUCUUCAUCGUUUUUGCUUUCAUCAAGCUGUAAGUUCCUUGAAGUCAGGGACUUGUCACACAGCCUGGUACACAGAAGGCACUCACUGAAUAUCUGAUAAAUGAGAGGAGGGACUACUGAAUGUAAAAUAAUCUCUAUCACAUAUGAUCAUUGUAGGGAAUAAUGAGGCGAUGUAUAUAUGUGGAGAACCCAAAAAUUGUUGCUCAAAAAUUGUUUUUUUAAAAACCUGAUCCAUGCUAAUCAAAUUCACAAAAAGACAGAUUGCCUUUUUAAUUUUUUUAUUUUCUAAAAUAUUUUCAUUGCUUUACCUUAAAAGAACAUGUGCUGACCAUAAUUUAACCUUUUUUAGAUGACCCAAGAUUAUUAUUCACAACACUUCAUUUCAGCAAGUGUGAUGAUCCUUGCAGGCCGUUUUGUGGAUUUAGAGGUCUCUUUAUCACUCUCCUAGACAGUUUCUGAGUGCUGAGCAUUGGGGCUAUUGGGUCAGCUUUUGUUUGUUUGUUUGUUUUUGAGACGCAGUUUCACUCUUGUUGCCCAGGCUGGAGUGCAAUGGUGCGAUCUCGGCUCACUGCAACCUCCGCCUCCUGGGUUCAAGUGAUUCUCCUGCCUCAGCCUCCCGAGUAGGUGGGAUUACAGGCAUGCGCACCACACACAGCUAAUUUUGUAUCUUUAGUAGAGGCAGGGUAUCUCCAUGUUGGUCAGGCUGGUCUCAAAUUCCUGACCUCAGGUGAUCCACCCACCUCGGAAAGUGCUGGGAUUACAGGUGUGAGCUACUACACCCAGCUGGGUCAGCUGUUUAUAACUUUUCUGAUUUCUUGGCUGUGAAGACUGGCAGACUUCUGUGAGGGUGCCUUGCUGAAACUUCCUCCCUGAUGUGAAUGCUCCUAAUCUUCUGUGACCUUGAAACUAAAAUACUUUGCCAUAUGAAUAUGCAUAUAAAAUAGGAGUACACUAGGAAGCUCUUUCACAUGUAAAGUCCAUGCAAUUCAUAAACUGGCUGCUCUUGAAUCCUUUUUAUCCUUUCACUUAUUUCUUGAAUCUGAAUUGUAACAUUUUAGAUAUGUGCAAAGUUGCUAUAAACUUAUAAAGCAGACAUUUCCUUUAUCUCUUUUCUUAAUAGUGCUUCUAGGAACAGAUGCAGAUUUCAUGACAUCUUAGUCUAUGUUAUCUAAUGGCAAAGUGAGAAUUAGUUGUGUCCAAAAUAUCAAUCAGAAUAUUUCCAUCUAAUUAUAGUUCACAGCUUCCUUAUGAAUCAUUUUAUAUUUACAUAAGAUUUGCUUUAAUUUUGUUGAACAGUAAUGGAGAUCUUUAAAUGGGUUUUUGUUAGUUUUUCAAAUUCACCAGUUUCUCACAUGUGUGUAUAAUUCUUCAUAAAGACUUCUAUAGCACCUCAUUUUGAUAUUUUUCCUUGUCAAAAUGAUAUUUCCUGAAAAUGUUUGUCAUCAAAAAUCAGAAUUUAUAAAAUAUCUGAUCAAGUAUAUGUCUGUAUCUGAUUAUCAAUUAAGCUGAAAAUGAAUCGAGUGCUGGAGAAAAGUCCCAUCCAGUUGGUCCAUUAUACAGAGCGGAAAGCACUAACAUGUUACAUCAGCAAAGGUUUUUGGGGCUCCAGUGUAGAUUGGAGCAGUGAAGUUAGAUGAGAUUUGUAGCACCUCCUGAUGACCAUGCUAAUCACUCCUCUACCACAGUUACCUCUCCCAUUAUUAGUAACUUGUUAGCUCAUCACAUUUCUUCAGCACCACUUUAUCCUCUUUAACCAUCUGUCCUAUUUAUAUACUCAGAUAUACCUGGCACCUACCAAAUGAGAGUAAGCACCAUAGUAACCAAAGAGUGAAAUUAUUGUAUAUGUACUUUGUGCUGUCAGCAACAUGUAUCCUGAGAUCUUUGUUGAAGAGUCAGUUAAUGAAAUUUGAGAGUCCUUGGAUUAUCUGACAUGUAAAGUUGUGAGCCAGAUGUGGUGGCAUGCACCUGUAGUCCCAGCACUUUGGGAGGCCCAGCGGGGAGGAUCCCUUGAGCCCAGGAGUUCAAAACCAGCCGAGGCAACAAAGUGAGACACUGUCUCUAAAAAUAAUACAAAAAAAAGAAACACUGGUCUUCUCCGACCUUCAGUGCUCCUGGUUUUCAGGUCUUCAGAUCCAGACUGGAAUCUCUACCAUCAGCUUUCUAUUUCUCAGGCCCAUAACUACAUCGCCAGUUUUCCUGGAUCUGUAGCUUGCAAAUUGCAGAUUGUGGAACUUCUCAGCCUCCAUAAUUGCCUGGAGCUUCCCAGGCAAAGACUUUGAAACUCUGAGAAGGGUAUUCAGGAGGAUUUUUAAGUUGUGCACAGUGACCAAUAUGUAUAAAAGGUGAAGGCUAGGUCCAGGGGCUCACGCCUGUAAUCUCAGCACUUUGGGAGGCCGAGGCGGGCAGAUCACCAGGUCAAGAGAUCGAGACCAUCUGGCCAACAUGGUGAAAUCUCGUCUCUAUUAAAAAUACAAAAAUUAGCCGGGCGUGGUGGCAUGUCCCUGUAAUCCCAGCUACUCAGGAGGCUGAGACAGGAGAAUUGCUUGAACCCAGGAGGCAGAGGUUACAGUGAGCUGAGAUUGUGCCAUUGCACUCCAGCCUAGGCGACAAGAGCAAAACUCCAUCUCCAAACAGAAAAAAAGAAAGAAAGGUGAAGCAAGCAGGAUUAAAGUGUGAGAAAUUAAACUGCAGUGUUGUGGCCACAAAACUUCAGCAUAUUUUGUAGGUGCACUGGAGUUGAGAGGGCCCUUCAAAGUCAGAUGAGGCUCAUUUGUGUUGUCAAAAAUGGAAAUGGAUAGCCACAUGCAGAAGAAUGAAAUUUGACCUUUAUCUCACACCAUCUACGAAAAUCAACUCGAAAUGAAUUAAAGACUAAAACUUAAGGCUGAAAUCAUAAAAUUGCUAGUAGAAAACAAAAAAAAAUGCUUCUUGACAUGAGUCUGGGUAGGGAUUUUUUGGAUAUGAUAUCAAAGCACAGGCAACUAAAGCAAGAAUAGAUGAAUGAAAUUACAUCAAACUUAAAAGUUUCCGCAUAGCAAAAAAAAAAAAAAAAAUCAACAGAGUGAAAAGGCAGCCUAUGAAAUGGAAGAGUGUAUUUGCAAACCAUGUAUCAGGUAAGGGGUUAAUGUAUAAGACUGUCCUACAACUCAAUAACAAAAAACAAAUAAGCUCAUUAAAAAAUUGUCAAAGGCCCUGAAUAGACAUCUCUCAGAAGAAGAUAAAUAGCCAAGAGGUAUAUAAAAAGGUGUUGAACUUCACUAAUCAUCAAGGAAAUAUAAAUCAAAACCACAGUGAAACAUCACUCACAGCUGUUAGAAUGACUGUUAUCAAAAAGAUCAAAGAUAAGUGUUGGCAAAGUGUGAGGAAGAGAGAACCCUUAUACAUUGUUCAAGGGAAUGUAAAUUGAUACAGCAGUAUGGAGGUUCCUCAGAAAAUAAAAAUAGGUCUACCUUAUUAUCCAUCAAUUCCAUUUCUGGGCAUAUAUCCAAAAGAAAAUCAGUGUCAAAGCAAAAAGUAGCCUGGUAUGGUGGCACAUGUCUAGUUUCAGCUACUCGGGAGGCUGAGGCAGGAGGAUCUCUUCAGCCCAGGAGACUGAGGCUGCAGUAAGCUAUGAUCAUGCCACUGCACUCCAGCCUGGGUGAAACAGCCAAGGGGUAAAAGACAUAAAAAUAUGAAUUGACAGGAGAGUAACCUCUCAAACCUUACCCUUACCGAAAGGAAUAGCAGGUGAUUGAAAAUUAAUAAUAAGUGAUGACAUUUAAAAAAUAAUCUUAAAGUUCUUUAAAAAUUUAUUUUUAGUGAUUUAAUUUCUAAAAAGAUUUUUAAAGUAAUUUUUUAAAAGAGAAAAGUAAAUACGUAAAAUUGUUCUAUUUUAAUGUAUUUAAAGACAGUAGUAGAUACUUUUUUCCUCUAAAAUUAUUUCUAGAUAUCUUGACUAUUGCUGUUGACUGUCUUUCCAUUCCUUUUCUAUGUAAAACUCUUCUCUUUUUAAACAGUAUGAAUGUAUGCUGAUGUAUGUUUGUGUAAGACUGCGAUUCACAUUCUACAGAACUAUCAUCUUUCAAACUAUUACAGCAAAAUUAAGGAGUAAGAUAAUUUUUCAUCAUAUUGUCAUCCAACUUCAUGACUUAUUUUCAUUUUUUUAAUGUACUUGGCAUGUAUGGAAGAGAAUUCCAGAAAGCUACAGUGACUCUUUUUUUCACUUAAAGGAAGUGGCUAGAAUGAGAUUGAGGGCAGGGGGGAAUGUGGCACAAGGAAACUGGCUUAAAAGCUCUGUGUGUAUUAUGUGCAAUUUUAUUUUCUGAGUAAUAUCACUGAUUCAGUAAUUACCCUGGGUAGUAGCCAUACAAGCUUUCUUGUUCCCUGGAAAGCCUUACUAUAAUCCAGAACUUUGCUAGCAUAUCAUAUACCUUGUAAUUUUAUUUUCUAAAAUUAAGUGGCAUUUAAUGUCUUCAUUUCCCCAUGUAACCUUUUAAAAGCCUUGUAUCUUCAUUUAUUUUAUUGCUCCCACACCCUCUUUCUGUUUCACAUAAUUCUUUGCAAUUUACUUCACUAUUCUGCAAAUAAAUCAUUUGCAGAUUUUCUAAAAGCUGUAUUCUCGCAUUUAGGACUUGGUGCCAUGGUUUCUUAGUAGAAGACAACUUUACAACCAGAAGUUGCAAGUUCCCCAAGUUCAAAAUCUGUACAUGUUUGCACUAGAAAGCCAAAAUAUUCCCUCUGUAGUCACUGAACUUCCAAAAGAAAAUACAUGCUGUCAGCCUAGACAGAAUUGAUUCAUUUAGGCUCUAAUCGUUUUGAAGGCCUCAGGUAGGGCUUGCGAGACUUAGCAUUGCUUUGGCCAUUCUGUUUUGAGGACUGCAAUUGGGUUAUAUCUUUUGCCAUAAGCUAAAAGGAAUAGCAGCAGAUUGAAAAUGAAUAAUAAUUGAUAACAUUUUUAAAAUAGUCUUAAAGUUCUUAAAAAGUGUUUAUUUUUAGUGAUUUCAUUUAAAAAUUGCAAAGCGAGUAUACAUGUUACUAUUAACUUACUAAGAACUAUUUUUUAGAAAGUAAUGAAUAAUUAGCUUUUUUUUUUUUUUUUUUUUUUUUUGAGACAGAGUCUUGCUCUGUUGCCAGGUUUGGAGUACAGUGGCACGAUCUCAGCUCACUGCAACCUCUGCCUCCCAGGUUCAAGUGAUUCUCCUGCCUUAGUCUCCCAAGUAGCUGGGACUACAGGCAUGCGCCAUCAUGCCCAGCUAAUUUUUGUAUUUUUAGUAGGGACAGGGUUUCACCAUGUUGGCCAGAUGGUCCUGAUCUCUUGACCUUGUGAUCUGCCCGCCUUGGCCUCGCAAAGUGCUAGGAUUACAGGCGUGAGCCACCACGCCUAGCCUAAUUUUGCAUUUUCUUAGUGCCAGUGUGCUGUACUUUUCAAGGCCGGUCAAUUGCCUAAGACCUCAAAUCCUGACGCAAAAUUCCCCAGCUUACUGCUCUCACAUAGAACACACUUGUGCCAGUGUCACUGCUUUUCCAGGCAUGCAAGCAAAACCAUUGGAAGUAGCUGAAUUUCUAGUGACACCCUAUAGAGCUCUCCUUAUAUAUAAUAAGUUCAUUCUUCUUUGGAGUUGUUAAAAAGUGAGGCUCAGGUUUUUGUGCCCUCAACUUUAUCCCCCUUGGUUUAUUGCUGCCUUCCAAGUUCAGCAUCUCAGCAUUUUUAUUUCAAGAAAUAAGCUUAUGAUGCACAGCAUUAAGCAAGACACUUUGGGAGAGGAGGAACCCUUCCCGGAAUUUCAGAAGUCUCCUUGUAGAGAAAAUUCCUGUAAUGUUUUGUUUUACUUCAAAAAUCUGAGUGCCAGAAAGAACAGAGUCAAGAAAGGAGCUAUCGUGAGCUCUUGAAUUUGAAGCAAAGUCUGUACUGUGACCCCAUUUUAGAAGAUCACUGGCCCUCCAUAGAGCACUACUUUGAACAAAUCAGUGAAUUUUAAAUCAAGUGUCUUGGUUGCUUAUAUUUUUAAAAUCUCAAAAGAUCUAAAUUCAGAUGCCAGUGAAAGCUUUGUAAAGGGAACCUCCCCUUCCUCAGCCUACCCUUAACUUGCAUUCUAGGAACUUCUAGGUGCUUUAGAUAUCCCCUAAAUGAUUAAAGAAUAGAUUAUAAUUCAAUAGAACAGUGAUUUGCUGGUUAAAGGAAGAAUAGCUGAUACUUUAUGAAACUGUUCUUAGAAUAGCUUGGAUGCUAGAUCCCAUUGUGUGUGUGUGUGUGUGUGUGUGUGUGUGUGUGUGUGUGUGUGUGAGAGAGAGAGAGAGAGAGAGAGAGAGAGAGAGAUAUGAGGGGGGCACCAAGACAGACAUAGUUAUACCCAUUUCCUUUUUCCAUAAAGCAUUUGCAGUAGCUUGUAACCAACACACAUUAUAAAAUUUACAUAGGGAUUUUUAAAAUUUUAAAUAAAAAUAGAGGGAAGCCCUUGGAAAAGAAAUGAUAUUAGAAUAAUGUUGAGUCUCUUGGGAAUCCUGCAAGUUUUUUGCUUCAGAUGCAAUUGCAGUAGCAUUGAGAGAGAUGUCAAACGUCAAACACAGUUCUGUCCUGAAGAAAAGGAGCAGACCUUCCAUUGGUCCUCCACUCCACCACCACCCUAAGUUGAGCCAGUGCCAUGUCCAAUAUCAGCCCUUGGGCUUCACCUGGCCUGUGCAUUCAUUCUAGUUCCACUGUCUCUGCCUUCAUGCUUGUUACGGCACAACUCUGCUACAGUAUUCAUUCCAUUUCUUUGGAAAGGCCUGCAGUUCAACAAUUGCACAUCCCAUUACAGAAACAGCAUUGAGCAUGAUUUUGGAAAAAUCACACAUAUAUCUUAUAUUGGACCUGAGUAUUCAAAGACAGUUUCAGACACCCUUGGUUUAUUAUUCUUUUGGCUUCACAAGUACAUUCAUGGAAUGGACAUAGAUGAGGGAUACCCAGAAACUGGCCAAGCACAGGGGAAAAGAAAGAGGGAGAUUCCAUUCUGCCUGACUCAGCUGGGAUAGGUAGAAAACCUAAGGUUCUUUUUCUUCAGCAGUCAUCAUAUGUUUCCAUCAUUUGUUCCCAUGGUUAUUUUCUGCUGCCCAGUUGUUAUUUGUACUUAUUUAAAAACAUCAGUGCAUGGGCCUCAAGAGGCAAAGAGAGUUGAGGUCCUACACUAGAGUCAGAAUAUUCAAAGUUUUGGACUGAGGUUUCACCUCUGAGCCAUGCUUUUUUAUUACACUACAUUUGGCUGAAGAUCUGACACUAGAUGCACCAUAACCAUUGCAAAGGCCAUGCAAUCUCUUGCUUUUUAGAUUUCUACUGACAUUUUUGCCUGCUGUUAGAGUAGCCACACCUCUCCAUGAGUUUCAGGUGUUUUAACCAUUUAGGAAAAAGAGGGGAGGGAGAAAGAAAUGAAUCAGUAGUAAAGAGAUGGUGCCUGAGAAUGGAAAGAUCACAGCUGAAAGUGGAGUAUGUGCUACCUUCUGGCCCAGACCAGGUGGCUGGGUGUAGAUGGACGUUGUGUGUAUCCCCAAUGCAGUAACCCUUACAGAGAUAAUUCUCCCAGUUUAGCCACCACGAAGUAUUGUUCUUUGUUUUUCCAUAGUGCUUGUCAAAAUGCUAUGACAACUGACUGGUUUUAUGCAAACAGAGCCUGGCUCUCAAGAGACAGUGUGUCUGAAAGUCAAACAUGGAUGGCAGCCAUUGGCACACAAAGGAGUCAGAAACCACAGAUUGUUUUCUCGUUGGAUGAACAGCUUAAAGCAACGUAAAGUUAAUUGAAGAAUUCCUUGAAAGUGAAGUCAGACUAAAAAGAAAUGCUCCGAGUCUAUAAUUUACUAAAUGUGAAAGAACUGUAAGUGGUAUGAGACUAAAACAGUUUCUUGGGGGGAGAGAACAUUUUUGUAAACAGAUCUGGCUUUUAUUUUUGCUUGGGCUGUUUUAAUUAUUUGCUCUAAUAAUGUAGAUCUCCAGAAGAAUCUCUAAUUAGGUAAGGCUUGAUUUAUGGAGUUGGCCUCAUAUAAACCAUGAUGUAUGUCAUGGUAUGCUGCAGAAAAUUACAGGCCUGGUCUCGCCAUUGCAAACUAGUAUUUCUACCUAGAACUACUCCUGCUCUGCAUGUCUUACUCUCAGGAAAGCAAAGCAUACUAUGUUCUCCUUCACAGUGCUCAUUGCCCAGGUAAACUCAACAUAUAGUAUUACUCAUCAAAUAAUUUUAGCAAACAUUUUUAAAACUGGGGAGAGAGGAGUAGAAGAAAAAUGCUAGCAGUUAAAGAAAUCUUUACUUCCUGGGAACUUAGUAAAUACCAACCUAUGAUUCUCAGUAGAAGUGGGUUCACUCCCCCUUCAGCUGACAGACUGGCAAGGAUAUGCCAGACUAUCAAGAGUAGUGUCUGUGUGUCCCUUCCUCCCACAACUCUAACUACAUCUUCCACACUCCGUCUUCAGCUCCUUCCUGGAAAGGUCUUUCAGUGUCAUGGUCGCCUAUUUCAUCUGGUUGUAAAUAACAGCCAUGGGGCCUCUGUAAUAUUUCACCAUGGUUCUUACUCCCUUUCCCAUUGCAGUAGAAGCCUUGGUGUAGAGCCAAGGCCUUUUCUUUGAUUAUAGGUUUGCCGAUUACAAUUUCCUAACAUUUUUCUCAUGUUAAUUAUACCUUAGUGAUUGCAUUUUCUAUGAUUUCUCAUUUCAAUUUUGUUAAAUUUUGGCCCCUAUAGAGCAGACUGUAGAAGGAAUCCUUCUAGAUUUUUACAAAUUGUUUUCCUGUCUUCCACAAUUGUCUGAUUUACAUCUGCCCUGAGAGUCAGUUUAAGUCACCUGCCUUUAUCAGGUCUCCUUAGACUAUUCAAUGUACCUUUCAUAGGAAGCAACUGUUUUCUUUCAUGGUUAUAUUUCACCAGUUUACAUCAUAUUAAAUUAUGUAAUUAUAGUAACAAAUCCAACAGGCAUAGGCAGGUUUGAGAACAAAUACACCUCUAAACAGUUGGAAGAAAUGCAUGGGAUAUACUAGUGAGUGACCUUCUAGCCUCUCUUAUUCAGCAUGUGUGGGCUCAGUCCUGGUUGAAACACAGGGAUAGAAUUGGUUAAGUGGAGCUCAGUUACGGAGGCUUCUGAAUCUGUGCUCUCCACACUGUCUUCAUUUUAUGGAGGGGGUCCAGGGUGGUUACAAGGCUUGCCCAAGGUCAGAAACAUUCGUAGCCAAGCAGGCUAUCCUGACUUUCAAGCUAUCAGGGCACCAGAGCAGGACUGAUAUCCUGGGCUUUUAAUGUGCUUGUCUGACUGCUGCCAAAGGUAAAAAAUGCAAGUUUAUCGAGCUUGAUUUAUUACCACAAAAUAUCUGUCUUGAUGCUUACUUUACCCAUAGUUUUUGUGUUACUAAUUAACACGCAUUUUUCUUUGAAUUCUUCCUGAUAAUAAAACAGACUCUUUGUUAUUGUAGGGAGUUAAUCGAGGCCGUAAGAUUUCCCAAUUCUGUCAAUGACCAUACUUAGCUAAAAGAGAGAAAGGCUGAGUGGAAGAAUUUUCCUAUGCCUAUAGUAGGGCUCGUCCUUCUUGCCACUACACAGCCCCAUACUGUUUGUGGCUAUUUUUGUUGGUCUAAAGGGCACAGGCCUCUGAAACAAAACUGCUUUUGGGUUUGAGCCAGAUGAUUAGGUUUGUAUUUAUUUGAUCACAUUCACAAACCGUAUUUGCUAACUUUCCUAAUACCAACUUGGGAAGAUUUUUUUUAAAUCACUUUCCUUCUUCUCUUCCUUCCUUCCAGUGUUGUCUUCCUUCCCCACCCACUUUCAGAAAGGAUUUGAUGUUGCCUAGGGUUAAAAUAGAUAAAUAAAAUCAAAACCAUUAGGAUGAAUACGAAGGAACGGGGAAAGAUGUUAUACUCGAAUCCCUGAGGUAAGAUGGCUUUGCUGUUAUAUUGAGCAGUGCAUUUAGCUCUGAGCUUCCUGGUAGACAAAGUGAAACAAGUCUUUGGGUUCAUGUUAUUUCUGUUUGCUGAGGAGAAACAUACCAGGUCGUCCACAGAGACAUUGUUACCAGGCACUUUAUUCUAAGCCAGUGAUUUUCAUGUAAGUGAAGCUAAAUAAUCAUCUAGAAUAGGGGAUUCACAUAUACAUUAGAGUUUGAGAAGCUCUGCUGUAGUCGACCUCCAUUUUUUGUUGGUAAGCCCAGGGAAGAUAAAUAAUUUGCCGGUUACCAGGCUUGGUGGUGAUAACACAGGCUUAGAGCCAGUUUGCCUUGGUACCAGCCUGGGCCUCGGAGCUCCCUUGUUUGGAAAGCACAGGUGUAGUGAGAUGUGGUAUUAGAGCUGGUAUGGUCAAGUACCUUACCUCGCUCCCAGGCAAUAUGGACACAGACUAUGACCUGAGUCUUGGGAUUUAGACUUAAUGAAAUCAGAAUAUGUGAAAGAGGAGUUUUUUUCAAGAAGCUUUUCUUUUUACCACGAGGCUGGACGAGGCUGGACCUCUGUAUCAGGAUGCUGUCAAAUUGCCAUAGAGGAGAAAUCUGGAAGAGUAGGCUGUAGCAGGUAUCCUUUUUAUGGCCUGUUUUAAAAUACUUUGUCAAAAAUGCCCUUCGUUUAGUCAAAAUUGUGGGCAAAUUUAUGUUAUAUUUUUGCUGCCAUGAGUAUAUGGUAGAACUUUGGGCAGGGAUCCUAAACUCAAGCUGUCUGCAGGAAACAGACAGGCACGGACAGCUAUUUAUUAUUCAGAAGGCCAGACAUAAAACAAGGAGCAAGGUCGAUAGUGAACCAAAGGGCCAGUGUCUUGUCUCGAUGGGGCAACUGCUUCUCAGCUCCUGUUCAUUUUUUAUCAUGUGAAAAAUGCAGUUAUGUAGUUGACCAGAUCUUCCAGUAUUUUGAGAGGAGCUGGAAGUCUGGAUUAUUAAAUUAAAUCUCCUGAUUUUAAAUGUUGGCAACUCUUUUCUUCUACUUGUUCAAAGCAGAAAACUUGGAGUUGUCCUUCACUCCUGUCUUCCUUUCAAAACCCACAUCUAAUUCAUCAGGAAAUCCUGUUGGCUCUAUCCUCAAAAUAUAUUCAGAAUCUGAUCACUUCUUACGGAUUUCUGUUGCACUACUGUGGUCCAAACCACCACCGUCUCUCUCCAAGAUUGUUGCAGUAGCCUCCUAACUGGUCUCACUGCUUCCAUUCUUUCUCUCCUGCAGCCAGAACUGUAAGUCAGAUCACAUCGCCCCACUGCCCACAAUCCUCCAAAGUCUCCGCAUCUUACUCAGCAUGAAAGCCAAGAUCCUCCCAAUAACCCAUAAGACUCUCCGACCUCAUCUCUGCAGCUACAUUGGCCUCCUGUCUGUUCCUCACAUAUGCCAGCUCAUUUCCUCCUUGUGACCUUUGUCCUUGCUGUUCCCUAUUUUUCCAGGUAUCUCUACGGCCCAUUCAUCCCCUGCAUCCCUUUGCUUAAAUGUCAUCUUCUCAGUGAAACCUGCCUUGGACACGCUAUCUAAACUUACACACAUGAAUACACACAUCCUUCCUCUCCACCUUCUCUGCUUUUUGUUUCUCCUUAUCACAUAUGGUCUAGUACACUCCAUCAAUUUUUUAUUACCUGUUUUCUGCACUAGAAUGUAGAUUCCACGUGGAUAGGGACUUUAUAUGAUUUUGUGUAUUUGUUCACUGCUGUUUACAUCUGGAAAUGAGCCUCACACAUGGUAGGUGUUCAAUAAAUGUUUGAUGAAUGAAUGAAUCUUAAAAACAAUUUUUUUAACUUUGGGCCAAAUAAAACUCUUCAAUAGGCCAAACCUGGGCUGUACUUCUUUUGGCCUAGAGUCAAAAAGAAGAAUGAGUGCUUCUCCAGCAGCUCCUUGUAGCUUGGGAACAGACUUUAUGAAUGCAUCAUGAUGCCUGCCCUGCUCAGGAAACCACAGAUGAGUUCUUCCCUUCCAUUCCCACAUGUACCCUCCUACUUCCACCCUGCUCAACUUCGAUACAUGCUUAUUGUUUUGUGCCUCAACAUUGUUUUUCCCAAGGUAUUGCUGUUUAGAAUAUGGAAAAUGUUGUGUGAAUUAUUUCAGCCUCCUGAGUGAACUUUCAAAUCUCUGAAGGUAGCACACAUUUGAACAGUUUGACUUGCUUUCUGCAACACAGAGUUUAGAACUGGGCAAGCAAUAAGUCAGAGGAAGAUUAUCUCAGAGGGAAAAGCAUGUGUAAAGACAGGUGUAAAAAUACCCAUGAUGCUUAGGAAGAGAACAAGUGAAACUAGAGUUGGGAGUGAGAGGGAAAGUGGUCAGAAAAGAUGUUGGAGAGUAGACAGGGCCAAAUCUUGCAGACCAUGGUAAGGAGUUUGAAUGCUGUUGUUAGGUCCAAUGGGAAGCUGUUAAAGAAUUUCUAAGUACUGAAAUGAUGGGGUUGGAUUUAUAUUGAUUAAAUUUUACUCUGGCUAUUCUGGGAAUUUAGGAGACGAAUAAUAAUAAUGACAAAGCAAAUGCAACUAACAUUUAUUAAACACUAAUGCCAGGCAGCAUGCUAAUUGCUUUAUACAGAUUAUUUUAGUUAAUUCUUACAUCAUUCCAUUGAGUUAAAUGAUAUCAUUAUCCCAGUUUUGCAGAUGAGGAAACUCAGACACACUGAAGCUAAGUAAUUUGCCUGAAGUCACACAGCUAACCUAUCAAACCCAGGCUGUCAUUUUUCAGCCUUUGUUCUUACUUAGCCCUUAACCUUUACUACUUUUGACUCUUCUUCCAGUACUGGAUUCAAGAUAAGCAUUUAGGAGGUUAUUGCUAUAUUCCAGGCAACAGCUGGUGGUUGUUUGGCCUUUCUGCUAAGGUGGUUUUUCUGUUGUUCCUUGUAAGUUUAAUAUUCAUUCUUACAGAUGGAGUAUGAUUUAAUUCACGUUGGAGAAUAGGCCUUAGCAAAGACUGAGGUAAUAUAUUUUAUUACUAAUUACAAAAUUUUUCAUUAUUUUUUAAAAAUAAUAUGUAUUUACCUAGUAGGCACUUAAUAAAUACAUGUAAAUUAUAAAUAUAAGGCUAAAAGAGACAAUAAUGGAAUAGCAUUUUUUUCCAUUGAUGGAAGUAUUUAUGAUAAUUUAUCCAGUUAGAAAAUAAUCUCUAGUUCCUUGUCAAUGAUAAUAGCACAUUUCCAAGAGUCAGUUCUUGUUUUCUUAAGAAGAGUUGACUCUGAUAAGCUAUCACACCAACUGUACUAGACUCCAAACUCAUUACUGUGAACUAUUCAAUGGUGAUGUGUUUCAAUACACCUUUUUACUGAGGUGUGUAACACACACAAAGACACACACACACAUAUAAACAUAAACAUAUACAUAUAUAUCCUGUUGAUGUUUUACAAGCUCGUCAGUCCGUUACUUGAGCAGUUACUUGAGCACCUAAACUCAAUUCAAUUAUUUUUCUUUAAAAAAAAUUUUUUUGAGCCUGGAAUGGUGGUGCAUGCCUAUUGUCCCAAGCUACCCUGGGAGCUGAGGCAGAAGGAUUGCUUGAGCUCAGGAGUUCCAAGCCAGCCUGGGCAACAUAGCAAGACCUCGUCUUUAAAAAAUAAGUAAAUAAAAACUUUAAAAAUUUUUCAGAUUUAUUUGUCUAAAAAGAAUUAUUUUUUAUUUUCACAUGUAUAAAUAAAAUAUUAAAAUUAAUUUUAAAAUAUAUUACAAAAAUAAAUUUACUUAUUUGUACAGAAAAGCUUUGUUUUAGUCACAUAACACUAUUGAUUUUGAUUAUGAUAAUUGUUCAAUAAAGUCAAGUCCCCUAGGCACAGUCUUCUUAAUUGUAUCCACUUUAGUUACAUAAAUAAAAAGCUAAAUAGUCAUUCAUUUUACUGUUGCAUUUGCAACCUUUGCCAAGUUACUAUCACAUUAAAUAGUGGUUUUGUUUCUAAAAAUAUAGCCUAUAUAUACAUAGACCAUACCAGUGUGCAUUAAUUGGAGUUUAUUAAAGACAUAGCUUUUCUUUGAGCUUAAGGUUUAUUCCAGCCUAAAUAGUCUAAUCACUAAAAUAAAAAAGCAAAUACUGAGCAGUUUACUGACAUUCCAUAGAAGAUAGAAUAAGACUUAAGUGUGUGAGAACAGUACAACAUUUCUGAUGGUUUCUUUUUUAAAAUAAAAACCAGCAACUUCAAAAUUCUGCUAGACAAACUGCUACUAAGAGGGCUUUUGUAGCUGAGCCUGUCACUACGCUAUAUAGUGACCAAAAGGGCAGAUUCUGAGUCAUGAUAACAUUCUAGGAGAUGUCAACAGUCAAAAUAAAAUCAAACUAUAUGUCAUCUGGAAAGCUGAGAUAAAGACCAAGAGAUCUUGGAACGUUUAGAAGCAGCCCAGGUGUGACAUGAGUGAGGACUCUAAGAAGAAAAACUUCACAGCUGUUUGUAACUUUCUCACAACUGCUUCACAUUUCUCUAGCAUGGAAUGGAAAGUAUAGAAAUGAAGAAAAUCAGAACUGGAAAGGACCUUAAAACCCUUGUUUUACAGAUAAGGAAACGGAGACCCAACGAGCACCAAACACUUGCCUAAAGUCACACAACUAGAGUUAACCAUAGGACUGAAAUUGGAAUUUGGAACUCCUAUUUUCUAGUUUAAUAUUAUUUUCUCUACUCUUUUUGGGCAUUUUGACUGUAUAGUAUUGGAGUUGUACCAAAAGGAAAAGAGCUGGCUUGGAUGAGAAAGGGAUCUAUGCCACCAGAAGUCAGUGAUCAGGCCAAAACUAGACAGUGGCUCCCUGGCAUGCGUGUUGGUUUUCCAUGAAAGAAACUUGGACUCAUUGUCCUCUAAGAGCUUUUCCAACUCUAAUUGUAAUGAGUAUUGAUAAUUUUCAUCAUAUUUGUAAUAGGGUAAUGAUUCGUCCUCCCUACUUAAGGCAUUAUUGCUCAUUCUCAUUCAUGCAUGUCUCAUCUACUCUAGUCUUUUCUCAGAACCUGUUUUCCCGUUGAGAGCACCUGUUCCAAAGUUGCUUAGUAAUGCAGUGUGACUAAAAAAGCAGGCUAAGACUCCAAGUUCAGUUCACCAUUUGGAAUCAUGAGUAAUCAUUGUCCCCACAACUAAUUUAACCUUCUACAUUAAACCAGUAUCCAAUAACUGCUGCUUUUCCUCUACCAUAUAAACACAAAUCAGCUAUAUAGUUAGCAAAAGGGAGAUUGGUGCAGUGAAAUCAAUCCGUUUUCCCUCCCUGUAGCAAGGAUGUGGUAUGGCAAAAGCUUUGGUCAAUUUAUAACCUAAUAAGGUAUAAGUGGUUUUUAAAGUGCACUGUGGUAAAAUUUUCUUUACUGUGCAACUAUAUAGAUAUUCUUGGCUUAAGAAUGAAAAAUAUAUAGAUUUGCAUUAUAAUAUAAAAUCUAUGAGAUAUGAAGUCUGAUGAGAAAUAUAUUUACCACCUGAUAAUAUCUGUGUGAAUAUAAACAUCUCUGUUACUCUCUUCCUAACAUAAAAUGAUCUUUGCCCAUUCUGCCUUUAUUCCUUUGUCCAGCUGUCAGAUUCUAUUUUUUUCUGCUAUAAUUUAGAACAUAUUUUCCUAGACAUCAGCAUUUUUAGACUAUGUACUUAAAUGUCAUAUUUAUAAUAGGGAAUUUCCAGAAAACAAGUGAUUCAGUCUCAUAUGCCCAAAGUACCCCAUUCUCUAGUGGAAAUCAGGAUGAGCUAUUCAUUGUAUUAGUUAUGUGGUCACAAUGGAGGCCUAUCUCCAUAGGUUUAAAACAGUAGGUUUUAAACUUUCAUCUAGCAGUCCAAUAGAAAUGUUUCCAAAGUUCCUGUUACCCUCGUUUCCACUCAUCCUGGAUUGAUUUGGGAAGUGGAGUGAGGAAGGAGUUGGUGGUAGGGUUCACAUUAUCAUCAUGGUGAUCUAGUAAGUGAGUGAAGGAUUCCUUUUUUCAAAUAUAAAGGAAAUUCAGAGCGCAACAAGGAAGAAGCCACGUUACAGAACUAGAAAAGUAAUUGUCCAAACUGAGCAUAAAAACCCAACACCCAAACAAGACCUGAGACCCGCAUCCCUUGGCUCCUCCUGUGUUCUUUUUUUUUAACUAACGCAUUCUCUCCCCUCAAGGAAAAGUCAAGCUAAGCCAAUUUUCCUUCUAAGGCUGAGGAUCUACGACAAGAAGGCAAAGACAGGGAGGGAGGACCUUGUAUUUUACGUUUAUUUGCCUCACUUUCUCCAAAGGGAAACACCCCACUAGGGCAGUGUCAACAGACUUUUUUGUAAAAGCAAAAAUAGGAAAUAUUUUAGGCCUUGCUGGCCAUAUGGUCUGUGUAGUAACUACUAAACUAGGUCAAAAUCAGCCAAAGACAAUACAUAAAUUAAUGAGCAUGGCUGUGUUUCCAUAAAACUAUAUUUUGGACAGUUAAAUUUGAAUUUUAUGUAUUUUUCAUGCAUCAUGAAAAAUCCUAAUUUUUAAUUUUUUCAGCUGUUUAAAAAUGUAAAAAUUAUGCUUUCAGAUUAUAUAAAGACAGGCUACAGACCAGAUCUAGCCCAUUAGCCAUAGUUUGCUAAACCCUGCCCUAUGGGAAUAAAUAAUGAAACAUGAGGAAGAUUGUAGGUGUUAAAACAUGGAGUAAAAUAUGAUACUUGAAAGACAAUUAUUUAAAUGUGGUAGAGGAAAUUAUUGAUAUGUAUGCCUCUUUCAGAGAGAGCAGAUGGAUGCGUUGGCCCUUGAUUCUGUUUUAGGUAAUCUUAGUUGGUACUAGGUCAAAUUCCAGAUUGGUUAUUUUGAUUUACUCUCUUAAGAUUUAUGAAAUGCAGGUUAUAGCUGGCUUUAGAGAAGAAAAGUGGAAAUAAGAAGAGGACAUGUGACUUAGAGCUUGCCAUAAGGUAUGCAGAGCCAACAGAACAUUUUAUUCGGAAUGGCAGCUGGUGGUUUCUGUUAUCUGUGAAUCAUUGUGAAGUCUGUCUGAGGCAGAGAGGAGACAGCUAGCCGAAUUCCCCUUUCGCAAAAACUGAUUCAUAACAUUGUAAAGCUCACAGAAAAUGCAUUUUGUAUCACAAGAACACAUAAAAAUCUCUAUUUUUUGACAUAAAGGCUAUAUUGACGAACUUUAAAAUAAAAAGAACCUGUAAAUGUAAAACCAUAAAGAAACAUUUUUUAAAAUAGUAUGAAUAAUUUAUGGGCAGUUGAAUACAGCUUUUGUUGCUUUGUAGGUAACUCACUUAUAACAAUUGCAUAAAUGGUAAUGCAGUUGUGUGUAACAAAGGACCAUUAAUUAUGACACUUAUGACAAUGAUAACAUAAUUAACUAUUUUUUGAGCUGCUACUAUUUGCUGCCACCUAACAUACAUUAUUACAUUUAUUCCCUGCAACAAGCCUGCAAGGUAGGUAUUAUUCUCCUGUUGAAAAUGAUGCUGAAGUUCAGUCACACAAACACCAAGUACCAGGGCCAAACUGCAAUCCAUAUCCCCCUCACAUGAAAGUUAGUGUGGUUUCCACUCUACUGUUACCAUUGAUGAGACAUGGUAACCAAAAAAAAAAAAGAAUUCAGGAAAACUAUCUUCAACUAUAUUGCUGGAUAGCAUUACUUUAUAAAUAUUAAUUUUACUCUGUGGUUACUGUAUGGUAAUGGAAUUAUUUUGGCCCCUUAAAACCUUAGAAAAAAUCAAACUAAUUGUGCCUUGUAACAUUUGUGGUUUAUGUGUCCAUUGACUGCUUGCAAUUUCCAGGCAGGCUGCAUCCUUGAACUAUUCACUGUCUGAACUUGCCCUCAAAGAAUUCUUCCUCCUGCCUCACCUCUAUCGAGUGGCAGCCAAUGGAAAACCCACAAGCUCAGCAGCUGCAGCUCUGGAAGGCUUCCAUCAAACCCUCAUUCCCAAAUCCCCUUUGAAAAUCACAGCUCCUAGAGCUUUGUGUUAUCUUCUUGAAGGUCUUGACUAAUGUUUGUAACAUUGUAAAACUUAAGCAAACACUGUCUUCAAGACCAGGAUUCUUAAAGUUGGACUCUGUGUUAACUUGCCUGCACCAAAUCAUGUACUGCCCCUCAACUGCACUCUUAAAUUCUUACCCUGGAAAGUAGCCUGAAAAGCAGAUAUUAGGACGGGAGCUUUUUAAAUGGUCAGUAGGAAAUUAAAAAGCUUAAUAAGUUCAGAAAGUGCCUCUUUGACAAUUCAGAAUUGAUUUUAAAAAAAAACCUGAUAUAUUGAAAAUAUGUGGUGACUCAGCCCUGUUCUUGCUCCUCUAAAUUUUAUUCUUUCCAUGAAUUGUUUUUAGGAUUUAGAGGUCAAGUAUCCAGUAUACCUGUCUCAGAGGAAACAAUAUUAUUUUCCUAAGUGAACAUCUAGUACAAAAGUGACUGUUUUAUGUAUAACUGAGCAGUACCAAAAUCCAGUUCUUAGCCAGCCUUUUUAUAUAUGAAUCAUAUUAUUUAAUCCAGAUUUCUUUGAAACCACAACCAGACACACAGUAUGGUUAUUUGAUUGAAGAAACAUGGUGCUAUUAUUCAACCCGCCAUGCGUUAUUUUGCUUACAUUAGUGACCCGUUAAUACACUUAAGAAAAGAAGUAAUUUGCAUCAUCAUCCAUUGAAAUUGACAAGACUGGAUGUUGGUGAUUAUGGACACUAAAUUCCAUUGUGGGGAAAGUUCCUGAUCUCUGUGUAGCACAAGACUGGUUUUUCUAGACUGUCUCAAAAGUAUAUCCAGGAACUCAGAAUGGGGGGAAAAAGCUGCAGCCAGGGGACAAAUAUGUGCUAAUGUACCACUUAUUGUCUGGAGAAAAUGUACACUCAUGGCAGCAGUAAGAAGUUAUUUGGUCUGUAUUUAUUUACAAUGUGCAGGCUGCAGAAUGUUAGCAUUCUGAUUAUGGCCAGAUGUAAUGGAAAGAAUUCACUAGCAUUUUCACACUGGCUUUAGUAAGGAAUGCACUUUUUGAAUCAACAUUGGUUAAAAGGUAGCCACUUCGUUCCAGUAAUCCAAAAGGUUCUUUGUGUUGCCUAAAUAAUAGAGGAAAUUAUUUGGGGCCUCAAAUCCCAUCUGAAUUGGCUGCUUUUGGUCAUUUAAACAUGCUUCCUUAUCAGUAAAACUAAGCAGACACUUUUAAUCUGAUAGCAAAUGUCUAGUAUUUAGGUAAGACAGUGAGUUUAGAUUUAUGAUGGGGAACCCUCAGAGUUCAAAGUACACCUGCUUGAAAUAAUGUUGAUAAAGAAUAUUAGUGUCAGUUUUCCUAAUGGGAAGGAGGGGCAUGCUUUAAACCUAGACUUUCUAUGAAAUAUGCAGCCUUAGGAGAAUAUCCACUCUGAUCAGUAAACGGUAUAUACAUACGAAUAUAUUUGUUUGUGGUGUUUUUUCUCAGUAGAAUAUCUCAAUCACUGCAGUAGUCCACUUUCCUAUUUUAAUGUUUUGACUAUCAGUUGUUUAAGUAUCAAAAAACAACUUGGGAUGUCAAGAAAAAAGCCAUUUUGCUAUCUCCAUGUAGUCAGCAAAAUGCUAGGGGGUUCUCUCCAGAUAGCUUGAAGACCUGUUUAUCUUAUGUUAUUUUUUAGGGUUGAUCUGUUAUCAUAAAUGUAUAUUCGAAAUUGUUAUCCAAAUUGUAUGUGUUUCAAGUUUGUGCUUUCUAGGAUUAUUAGCAAUUUGAUGAUGAAAGCCAUCUACAUUUUCAAGUCCCUUGAACCAAAUGUAUUUUAAACAAUUAAAUUCAUAAAUGAAUGUCCAUGCUGUGCGCAUAUUCCUCCUUAAAUUAUUAGUAUUAUUAUUAUUAUUUGAGACACAGUCUCACUCUGUCACCCAGGCUGGAGUUCAAUGGCACAAUCUUGGCUCACUGCAACCCCCGCCUCCUGGGUUCAAGCAAUUCUCCUGCCUCAGCCUCCGGAGUAGCUGGGACUACAGGCGCAUGCCACCACGCCCAGCUAAUUUGGUAUUUUUAGUAGAGACAGGGUUUCACCAUGUUGGCCAGGCUGGUCUCGAACUCCUGAUCCACCCGCCUCAGCCUCCCAAAGUGCUGCAAUUACAGGCGUGAGACACUGCACACAGCUGAAUUAUUUACUUGAAUUUUUUAAUGCCCUCUGGUUCCCAGUAAUCAAACACUUUGACCUUUUUCACCCCACCAAACUGUUAAAGAAAUUGAACCAUAGAAGAGGCAGAAACUUUUAUCAUUCUGAUAUAGGGGUAUUUCUUGAUUACCUUUAAAUUUAUUUUAUUGUAAUAGAAAAAUUCAAAUGUAGAGAGAAAUGGAAAAGAAAGAAUCCCCAUGUGCUCAUCACGAGCUAUAGCAGUCAUCAACUCAUGGCCAACUUUGUUACAUCUUUAUUCCUUUCCCCCACAUUGGAUUCUUUGAAAGCAAAUCACAUACAUGUAAUUUCUAUGGAUGGUCUAUUAUGUGAUUUGAACUUUGUUGGGCUCUGAGGAUAAAAAGAUGAAUGAGACAUAGUCCUUAUUCUCAGGGAUCUCAUCAGAUUCUUCUGGGAUAAUAAUGUUUACUAGUAGUCAGUGUAAUUAUAAGUCCAUUGUAACAUAGAACCCAAAACUAAAAACCCCUGUACCAUCUCUAUACAUUGCAUAAACUUAAUAUAAAAGGAAUUAUGGUAUAGUAGUUCCUAAAUCCACUUUUAGGAAGGUCUUCUAAGGCAUGAAAAAUUUCCUAGCUCUGUCAACUAAAAAGGUCUAGAAUCAAUGACACCUUGUAGCAAUGAACACAUGCAACACAUAAAGCUUCUACAUCUCAUUUCCCACUAAGAGGAACAAAGCCUUCUUGGAGAAGUAGCUGACUGCAGGGCUGUUGGAGGAAAAAAAAGAUGAGCCUGGAACAUCUUUUCAUGCCACGAUGUUAGGAAGUCUCAAAAAAUGAUGAGGACAUGUCAAAAGGACACCAGAGUUGGCUUGAAAGGACUGCCACUGGCCUAAUCUGAAACAACCUGAAGAGCGAAAUAAUUAUAAAAUGGAAGGUGACCCAUUGAAUAAAAUAAGAAUUCAUGAGUUUGUUCAUGGUGAUAAUAGGUAGAUACUACAUGUGUAAGAAAGAAAAGUUAUUCUUUACAGUAGAAUGCCUACUAAUAAAUGUAGAAGAAAUAUAGAUUAGAAAACCACCAUUUUGCAGCCAUCAUAGUUGCAAAUAGUUAAGAAGUAUCAAUGGCUGCUGAAACAAUUUUUUAAAAGUUCAGUGAGGAACAGGAUAUUUACAUAUCUCAAAGAAUUUUCCACAAAUUACUUAUUAAUAAUCAUGGGAAAUAGUAGUUUUGGAGUAGAGAAGCCUGGUAGUGACACUUUAACCAAGUGAUCAAAGUUACCAUCAUCAAUAGUAGAACAAAUUGACAUCUUGUGCUUCUUGAUAUUACGCAGUGAGAAAGAUACGUUAUUUCUGUGGUAUUCCUGCCCCAAAUAUGCAUAAUUAAUUUAAUAUUAAGGAAAUAUCAGACAAACCUAAACUAAAAGAUACUCUUCAAAAAUGUUAGUAUCCUGAAACACAUAAAUAAAGCUGAGCCAUUUCAGAUUAAAAGAAACCAAAGAGACAUAAAAACUAAAUGUGUGGGUUCUUUCAUUUGGAUCCUGGAUCGGGGGAGGAAAUGCAAACAGAACAGUAUUGGGACAAUUGGUAAAAUUUGAAUAAAAUGUGGGGAUGAAACAUAAUGUUGUGCUUAUAUACAUUUCCUGAUUUUGAUCAUUGUGGAGUAAGUGAAUUUCUUUAUUCUUAGGAAAAUACAUUGUAAUAUUUAGAGGCAAAGGGACAUGAUGUCUGCAACUUACUCAGAUGGUUUAGAAAAACAAAUGUGUGUAUAUGUAGAAAGAGAAUAAAAUGCAAAAGUGGUAAAAAUUUUAAUAACUGGUGAAUAUGGGUGAAGGGUAAAAGAUUUUUUGUAGUAUUCUUGCAAAUUUUAAGUUUGAAGUUAUUUUAAAAUUUAACAAAAGAUUAAAACAAAGCAAACAGACACACACACACACACGCACAUUGUUAUCUUCACUUUAAAUAAAGCCAGCGCAACAUAUAGAAAUCUGAAAAUCAUACCCUAAGAUAAACUGAGGAAUACAAAAUUUUUGUCUCCCAACAAAGUUGCUACAGAAAUCCUUUUAGCAAUCUUUAUGUUCAAAUCAUAAAAUGUAUAAAUAACAUAGAAAUAGUGUCCCAUAUCCCCUUCUGUAAAUUGAGGCACACCUACAUUUGUUUUAGCUCUGUCCUGAUAAGUUUCUCUAUGCAUCUUGCUUGCUUUGGGAAGCUCAUUGCAUAAAGCUGUGUAUAAGUGAAUGUUUAAAUGUUUUUGAGGAAAAUGACAGUGAUGAUAACUUGACCUCCAGUACAGAUUAAGACCUUUAAAAAACUAAAGCUCUACUAAUUUCUUCCUCACAAUUACCUGAGUAGCUUUACAGCCACACUAACUGGCUCUGAAUCGCUUAGGUUUUCCUUUUUAAUCGCUUUUCUUUUUUUUUUUUUUUUUGGGGGGGGAGGGAACAGAGUCUCAAAUCUCGCUCUGUCGCCCAGGUGGAGUGCAGUGGCACAAUCUCGGCUCACUGCAACCUCUGCCUCCUGGGUUCAAGCAAUUCUCCUUGCCUCAGCCUCCCGAGUAGCUGGGAUUACAGGCACCUGCCACCAUGUCCAGCUAAUUUUUGUAUUUUUAGUAGAGACAGAGUUUCACCAUACUGGCCAGGCUGGUCUUGAACUCCUGACUUCAGGUGAUCCAGCUGCCCUGGCCUCCCAAAGUGCUGUGAUUACAGGCGUGAGCCACCACGCCCGGCCUCUCUUUUCUUCUCAUUAAAAUAUAACUCUUACAGAAAUAAUAAGAAAAGUAAUGAAGUAAUGAGUCUAUUAUUUUGAGCCCAUCCAAAAAAAAUUGCUUAACUGGCAACAGAUAGAAAAAUAAGAUAUUGAAUUAUCCAAAAGCUGAUUAGCCAAAUUAUUUCUUUUUUCACCAUUUUUUUGCUUAUAGAGAAUUCGAGUAGGGAGCGGAAACAGGCAAUACUACUCAGUCAGUUGUAGUUUCUUAUUGACUGUUCGGUUUAAUUUCAAAAUUAACAAACAUUGUAAUUGCAAAAGAUUGGAAAUAACCUAAAUGUACUUUUGUAGGGACUGGAAGUAAAUAGGAUUAUUCAUUUAUCCAAUACUAUGCUUCCAUAACAAAAACUGGAAAGCUAUUUAUGGGUUUUGUUUGUUUCUUUCUUUUUAAAGGACACGAUCUCAGUCCAUGUCCUACAUAGUAGCCUCAAACUCCUGGGCUCAAGCGAUCCUCCCACCUCAGCCUCCCAAGUAGCUGAGAUUACAGGUGCCAAGCCACGGUGCCCAGCUGCUCCUUAUGUACUGAUACAGCAGGAUCUCCCAGAUGUAUUGUUAAGUCCAAAAGGCACAGUACAGAACAUAUUGUCUAUAUCGUAUGCUACCUUUUGCAUGUAAUAAAAAGAAGAAAGAAUGAACGUACAUGUUUGUCUGCAUAUGUAUAAAACGUCUUUGAAAAAUGCACACACAAUAUUGCUUGCCUAAGGAAAUAAGAAUUUUGUGUUGGGAGACAAUAAUUUUGCAUUAAUUCAGCAAUAACAGAUGUUGGAAAAACUCCUAAAUUUAAUGCUUAUAAAAAGAAUAGGAAAUUAUGCUUUCACCAGUGUUGUAUUGGUAUUGAAAUUAUCAUCAUCUAAUAAUAGUUCAUCAAACACAGAGACAUUCCCAGACCUUUCACUGUAGUGGUGAAAACCAUUAUGCAUUUUAUCUAAUUCAGUUAGUCUGCUUUACUUAUUAACUUGACCUCAAAAAACUGAGCAACCUUUUCUAAGUGUUCUUGAUCACAGUAGUACAGCCUAUGAAGUACAUAAGAAGUACAGCCAAGACUCACCUGCUACAGGAAUAUCAAAGAGCAGAUGAAAUAUAAUCUAUGAUUAUAUUUCACAGUAUGUAGUAUAAAGAUUUCACAGUAUAAAGAUUUCAGUGGAGUUCUACAAAAAUACCAACUUGGUUUAAUACUUAAUGGAAAGGAAAACAGUAAAAUUUAUUUCAAAUUAGAUAGUGUAAGAUUCAGUCUUAUAAUAUGCGGGAUACCAGGAGUACCUUGGAAAAGCCAGAUACCAAAUAAGAUCUAGGAAAUUUUUAGGAAUCCAGAAGAAUCUAGAAAAGCAUUGUCCCUAGAGUUGAUAUUUCAGUAUAUCACCAAGUAAUUUUUCAUCCAAGAUCUCAGUGCUUCCCUUAAAUUAGAUAUUAAAUGGCAUGUGGUAAUUCCCCCCAGUGGUUUUCUUCACAGUUAACGACUUUCUUCUUUUUUUUUUUUUUUGAGAUGGAGUCUUGUUCUGUUGCCCAGGCUGGAGUGCAGUGGCAUGAUCUCGGCUCACUGCAACCUCCACCUCCCAGGUUCACACCAUUCUCCUGCCUCAGCCUCCCGAGUAGCUGGGACUACAGACGCCCGCCACCAUGCCCGGCUAAUUUUUUGUAUUUUUAGUAGAGAUGGGGUUUCACUGUGUUAGCCAGGAUGGUCUCGAUCUCUUGACCUCAUCAUCCGCCCACCUUGGCCUUCCAAAAUGCUGGGAUUACAGGCAUGAGCCACCGUGCCUGGCCUCAUAGUUAACAACUUUCUUGAUCUAUCUACCUGCAUUUUAUAAUUGGAUACAUGAAUCAAUCCAAGCUGUCUGAAUAUUUUUUUUUCUUCCUGCACCCACAAAAGCCAGUGAGAAGUAGGAACCUAAGACAAUCUCUGGAACAGGUAACCAUCUCUUACCACUUACAACAUAAGAUUAAACAAAGAGUUCUCUCUUGUGGCUUAUUUGCAUAUUUCAUUUGCAUAAUUCUCAUCUAACUCCCUCUUUUAAAAAAAGUAUUAAUUAUUCAAAUAAAUACUAUUUAUCCAGGCCAUAAACAGUAUAUUAAAGUUCUCUCCCCGAGAAUCAUUUGUAUAGUUCCAGAUAAUAGCAUUCCAUUUUAAUAUAGAUGAGUACACAGAUGUGACCGUGGUUUUAGAAACAGUUUAGGUAGCAUCAAGAAACAUCUGCACAUUUUCCCAGCAGCCUGAGUAACUAGUAGUGAUUUGUACAGACUUCUCUGCAUCUGCUUUUUCCCCCCUUCCUUUUUUCAGCACAUCUAGAUGAUUAAUAGACUGAACAGGCCCUUAUAUAUGCAUUCUGACAGCCUUUAGGACGGUCUUGGUUGACAAUACACACAUAAGCCAGUGUUGUUAUCAUGAAACACUUCAUUUGAAUGACUAUUACAGGCUGAACAGGAUGUCCUAUGCCAAGAGGUUGUGACAUUUUGAGAGGGUGGUGCUGGGAGCCAUGUGGGACUCUUUUCCCAUCACAGCCAAGUUGACAUUUUCUCAGGUUGUAGGAUCAUUAGGGCUGCAAAGGGAGAAACUUUGUCAGUGGCUGGGUAGAUGUCCCUUGAGCCUGGAUUAUGCAUUUGAAAAAAUGGUUUCUUUGCCUUAGGGAAGAGAGUCUCAUUUUAAAAAGAAAAAGGUUUUUAUAACGAGUUCAUGUAUUCCACUAUGAAUUUUGCUGAAAAAUCUGUCCUGAAGUAUGUCUUUGCUGCCAAAUCCCACGCUUUACAGUUAACCAAAGUUGACUCUGUAUGACCUGUUACAUUUUCCUUAGACAGUUGGAUGUGAUCACAGAAGGGUGACUGCCAAAGUUUUAUUUCAGCUCAGAUAUAGCUAAAUGCAAGAAAUCACUUCCUGACACCUUUCUUCUGCCUGCCCCACCCUAAAUCACCAUUUUUCAAACAAGCUAUGGAAUCUACAAAAUGGCCUACCUGUGUUCCAAGUUAAUUUUGAGAAUGGCUUUUUAUGGCUGGUUUGUAAUCUCUUUAGAAAAGCAAAAUUAUGAUGGAAACUCUAUGACAUCCUAAGCUGUAAGCACUUGAAGAUGAAUGUAACUUCAGGUCUGUGAAGCUAAAUAUUUACCUUCCACAUGAUUUACUGCGUCUUUGUUCCUUUCCACACUGAGCUUUUUCUUUAUGUGCAUCCCUUCAUCUCCAAGCUACUUUUUAGUAGCCCUGUUAUAUCAGUGUUUUGUGAUGUUACAAAAAAGCAAAGAAUGUGAGGUCAAAUUUUCCAUUACACACUUCAACAGGAAUGCCAGGGAACUUAGCCAAACUAAGGCUACAAAAAAAAUAAAAAUAAAAAUUACAGGAAAGAUGAUUCAUUAAUCAACAAUUGCCUUACCAAGAAAAUAGAAUUACUUGUAUGUAUUUGGUUUGGGGAAGGGGGAUAAGUGCAGAUAUCCUGGCUAUGAGUGAAAUGGAGGUAUUUUAUGUCUAUGUAGCAUGGUUUUAGACCUACCAGAGAUCUUUUAAACAGUAAAAUUCAGGAGAAAGGAUAACUCAUGUUGUGCCUUGAUUUAUCUCACCUUUUUCUUCUUUCAACAUGAAAGUAUAUCACAUGCUGACCCCAACUACAAUUUGAUUUAAAAAAAUAAUGACAGCUGAAAACUAGGAUAGAAAGGCACAGGCUGCACCUCAGGAACAGUGAGAACAGGGACCAUUGCCAUUCCUUCCUCUUUCUUCAGCUAUAUGAUCUGAGUCCCUUUUUAUUUCAUAUAUGCCCCCUUCUGCUCCCCUUUCUCUUUAUUUUGCCAUAAGCUCUGGAUCGUAAUCCAUCCCUAAAACAUUGUCAUAUUAAUAGAAAUUCUGGAAUUUGACCUUUAAAUGUAGUCAUUAUUACAUAUUAAAGGAUCUACAAAGGGCAAAAAUUGUGGCAGUAGAUGAAAACAAUAGCCACUGAAAUUUUUUAAAGCCCACAAGCUUGUAAGAUUCCUCUUAAACAAACAGAAUGAUCCAGUCACAGAGCUUAGUGCUGUAAAUGUCAAUAUAAACUUGAUUUUUUUUUGUAUUCUAAUAAGAAGACCAGCCAGUAACAAAAAAACAUUGGCUCUGUGACCAGCCAAUACCAGAUACAGUGAAAUCUGUUAUCUGAUGUUUCGUCAGCUAGCCUGUGAGCACCAUCAUGUAAUAAAAUUCUCUAAACUGUGAUUCACGGUGCUACAAGAUCUUUGUGCACCUUUUGACUAAUCAGAGACAAAUCAUAUCAGGCUCUUGUAUUAUUUUAUUACCAAGUGUAUUUUAUUUUAAUUCUUUGGAAAUUGGUAAUCCAUGUAUGGUUCAGACAUUGUUAACCAGAGUACAUAAUUAGAACAAUUCCAACCAUGCCAGAUGAUACUGUAUUUACUGAAGAAUUUUAUUGCCUUUUAUGGAGAACAUGAGGGAGGAAUAGAGAACAGGUUUUUUUUCUUUUCUUUUGCCACAUAGCUGAUAACCCAGUUGCUAUAACCAUUUCUUCCACACAAAGGGACAACAACAUGAGAAAUACACGUUUUAAAGUUCCUAACAAUCGAGUACUUCUUACGGGAAGCUGGGACAGUUCAAGAAAAAAAUGGAUUGAAGGAGAGGAAUAGAGCCAAAGUUCCCAGACCUUGACAACUAGGGCAAAUGUAACAAGUCCACAUUCAUCAUGGAAAAAUGUAAAGUCCUACAUGUUUGUGGAAGAAAAUGACUGCAUUCGCAGAACAAGAGGGAUAAAGGGCUAACAUAGCCUGUGCUGGUCACAGCCUUCUUUGCUCAUCUCUCUUUACCUCAAUGUGAAGAUCAGUGACAGACCCCCUGAGCAGGGAAUGUUUUUUGAAUUAUAAUGAUGGAGACAAGUAUCCUGUGUCUCAAAUUGACAAGAAGUACUCCCCAGUCCUCAAAGCUCAGAGAGGCUUUCUUCAGGCAUAUCCAGUAUUUCAUUCUUUACUGUGUUGUGCCUUAUCUGCUCUCUGUACAUACAAGUAAGGAAAAGAGAAAAUAUAUGCAGAAAAUCAUGUCCAGUAAGUUUUAUUCCCCUUUGAAAGAUUAUAUUUUGUCUUUUGAAAGUCUCUCUGUCUCUGUUCUUUUCAGCUAUAUUAAAUAUUUGUUUCCUUCGUUCUUGAAUCUCAUUUUCUUGAGGCUUAUAGCAGCUCAGCAGUCUCUAAGGUCUCUUUUCCCUCAUCCAUACUCUCACUUCUCUAUUUUUGACUACUUUUGCAGGCCAGUAGGUAUUUAUUAUGUCUCAUUUGCUGUGGGAGACAGGCUCCACCCCAUCCUACCAUACUCCCAGACUUUAUUCCUUUUAACCAUCUAACUAGCCAUCCAUUUGAGUCAGUUAGGACAUGGAGACUUGAGAAAUUUACAUCCCUGGAAGGUGAUUAUGAUAUGUUGAAUUUAUUUUUUAAAACUUUUUUUACAAAAUGACAAAAAAUUGUGUAUAUUUAGGGGAUACAAUGUGAUAUUUUAAUCUCUGUAUACAUUAUAGAAAGAAUCAAUCAAGCUAGUUAACAUAUCCAUCACCUCACCAACUUAUUUUAUUGUGACAAGAACAUUAAAAAUCUAUCCUUUUAGCAAUUUUGAAAUAUGCAGUAUGUUAUUUUGAAUAACUGUAGUCAUUAUGCAGUGCAAUAGAGAUCAGCUUUUUAGAUUCUACAUAGAAAUGAGAUCAUACAUACUUGUCUUUCUGUGCCUAGCUUAUUUCACUUAGCAUGAUGUCCUCCAGUUCCAUCCACGUUGUUGGAAGGACAGAAUUUCCUUCUGUUUGAAGGCUAGCUAGUAGUUCAUUGGGUGUAUAUACCAUAUUUCUAUGACAAACUCUGUCCUGCUUUGCAAGAUUUUAAAAGGGAAUGUGCUUUAGAACAAGACACAUUGAGAUUUGGGUUCAAAUCCUGUGACCUUGAGCCAGUUACUUGCCUCGUUUAUUCAUUUAACAAAUUUUGAUUGAGCGUCUUCUAUGUGCCAGGCAUUGUGAUGGGCACAAGCGAUGCAGUUGUUUACAAGAUUGACAUGGUCUUUGCCCUAAUGAAGUUUAUAUUCUAGUUAGGGAAACCAGUGAAAAAUAAAUAUUUAAAUAAGUAUUUACAUCAUAGUAUAAAGAAGUAACACAGGGGUAAUCUGUCAAGGGGGGCAGUGAAAACUAUUUUUGAAACAAUAGGUAAGCUGAGGCUCAAAGAAUGAGUAGGAGUUAGCCAAACAGAGUAUACAAGAGCAUCACAGGCUAAAGGACAGCUUGCUCCAAGAACCCAAGUCAGGAAGGAACUUGAGACAAAAGAGGAACUGAAAAAAGUCAAGCUAGACUAGAGCCCAGUGAAAGAGAGGGAAGUAGAAAGAUACAGAGGUAGUGAAGCCAGAUUAUACAGGGCCUUAUAGGCACUGGCAAGAAUCUUGGUCUUUUCUAAGAGCAAUGAGUAACCAUUGAAAGAUUUUUUUAAUGAGGUAAAAACUUGAUUUGUAUUUAAAUCACUCUGAUUAUUGUACCUCAUCACACAGUAGAUGAGAGAAGGAAACCAAUGUGAAAAAGGCUGGUGCCAUUUUUCAGGUGAGAGAUGAUGGUGGCAGUCAAUGGAGUGGUUAAUGGCUCCAAAACAGAUUUAGGAGGUAGAGCUGACAGGACUAGUGGCUCUCUGCUUUGGUGACAUUGCAGAAUAGUAGUGUCUCUGAUGACUUCCAUUUUUCUGAUAUGAGGUGCUGUUUCCUGAAGUUAAGAACAUUUAGAGGAGAGUCUAGCCUGGGCGUAGAGAGGACUAGAUCCUAAGCUCAGUUUGGAACAUGUUUGAUCUGAGAUGCUUGUGAUAUAUCCAAGGGGAGAUGGUAUGCAGGUAAUUGUAAAAACAGAUCUGGCGCUCACAAGAGAUGUAGGCUAGAAAUAUAAAUUGGAUAACAGUUUAUAGAUUAUAUUUAAAGCUGCGAAUAUGACCUCUCGAAGCCUUAGUUGUUGCAUCUAUAACUUGGAAGUAAUGAUCUAGCUGUGCAAAGAGGUUGAAAGGGAUGCGUACAGCACAUAGCACAGUAUCUAGCUCAUAGUAAGCACUCAAUAUAUGGUAAUUGCCAUUAUUACUAUGUCUAGGAAAAUCUCACAGCCUUAUUCUCUGAGUUAGCACUAAUUGACAAAGAGGAGAGUGGAAAAGAGUGAAUAAAGGAAUGAACAUAAAUCUGUGAAAAUAUGUGUAUAAAAUCGAGAUAAAACCAUUAGCUUUCAUUGUGCUGCUGUGUUAGAAUUUUUUUUUUGUAAUUUUUAAUUCCCAGGCAUCCCUCCUCUCGCAAACACCUCCUAUAAUUCUCCCCCUGAAAAAUCAGGGGACUUCAUUUAUCUUAAAUGGGACAUUUGGACCCAAAUGAUUUCUGAGGCUGCCCCCAGGUUCUUCAUCUUGGUGGGUUCUCAUUAUUGCUGCUGCAGUGACUGAUUGAUUUGUUGAGAAAUAUCUGUCUAAAUAUUCUUCUGGUAACAUUAUUUUUAGGAAGGCAAAGCCUUUACAUUUCCAGACGGCAGCUUUGCUGUGAAUGUGGGGAAACCACAGAAAGCUGUAACACAUUGCACAUGUCAGCAAGGCCUUCUGGGCUUCUUGGCAUUCCUAAUGAUGAUAAUGAUCCCACUUGGUGGAGUCUGACCCUCCCUGCAGCUGGUGUCCUUUCUGCGCAGGGAUGAGGUCACUGGGGAAGGGGGAGGAGGCGGAGCUGGGGUGGAUGAGAGAAGGGAAGGGGAAGAAGCUGUCACAUCUGCAUUCUUGGUGGAAAAAUGGAAACAUGUUUGCCACAUGCUUGCUUUGUUUGUUUAUUUUUUAAGGAAAGGGUAUGGAGAGGCAAGAGAAUAGUGAGGAAUUGUAACAUGAUGACUGCUUGGUUUUCCCCCAAGGCUUCACAGCUAAAUAGCUGUAUUCUCAAUAACAGGCUCAUCAAAUUUCCCAGGGCACUGAUAACUCUAUGAAUCUAAUCCUGAAUACUUGAAACUGAUCAGGGCCAGGAUAUUCCAGCGUUUGGAUCCAGUAACUUCUUUAGAGUUGUGAAAAUUCCUAAUUCUAGAUAGUCCACUCCUCCUUAUGCCUCAGACAUGUCUUAAAAAGGGAAAUUCAGAAUUUGCAGAAUUAUUUUUAUAUUUGGCAAUGUAGUUAAAAGUAUCAGGUUGUUCACCUAUUUCUCAAAGUUGUCACUGAAAGUAAACAACCUUUUUUUUUUUUUAAGUUUACUAGUAGUAGCCUAACUGGUAGAUCAUAGUUUUAUCUCUAGAGCUUGUUGUAUAUACAGAGAUUAUAAAUCUAGAAUUCCCCAACUCCCCCCAGGAUUUGGGAUUGUUGUUACAAUUGGUUGUUGUUGAUGUUUUUGUGAGGAGAGAGGUUAGCAAAAGAGGGGUCCUGUUGUCAUUACAGGGAAUGACCUGGCCUGGGCAAAAUCACAACCAACCACUUGGCCAUCUCAGCUCCAGGUAAUAGAAAUAAGUCAGCGCUGACAGAAGUGAGAAAAAUACUCAAAAUGCUCUCAAGAUGGUUUUGAACCCUUCAAACCUGAUAAGGCCAGGUCUGAUUAGCCUUUGUAUCUUCAAUACCUCAGCCAGGGCCUAAUAGAUAGUAAGUGCUCAGUGAGUGGUGAGUGGCCAAGUAACCCAGUUUUCCUAUUUUCCAUGGUUCAGGACUACUGUUGGUAGGCAGAACAAAUGACCAUGAGUAAUUAGGUAGAGGGAAAAAAUAUUUCCUCCUAAAUCAUGGAGAAAGAGGCUGUUAUUUAAGUAAAUAUAAUAAUUGACUAUCAACAGUGCUCCCGACUUGAGUUUUCAAGAUAAAAUGUAAAGGGUAUUGUCCUCAGGUUUUGAAGGUCCAAAACUGCUAAAUGUUUAGCCAUUGAAGUUUUCUAACCUAAAUUUCCUUGUUGGUAAAAUGGGUAUAAUACUUUCUCUGCCUACCUUUCUAGGGUUAUUUUCAGGAUUAAAUGCUUUUAAGGAAGUGAAACUAGUAAAAACUAUCGGAGGGAAGUGUUGUUAUUUUCUUCUUUUGAGAACAAUAUAUCUUUAAACAUUUUUAGAAGAAAAAAAGGUUUUGAAUUCCUUGAAGAAAAGGUGCUUCCAAAGCAUAUUUAUUGAUGCUAUUAUUGUAAAUCCCUCUUUAAGCUUCAUGCAUUUAAAAAUUAAUGACAACUCUCCUCUUCCUUUCUGGAAAGCUUUUAUGACUUAACUCCAAAUUCUAUGUGUUUAAAAAAACUAAAGUAUCAUGUCCUCCUUAAAGAAUACCAUUAUUAUUCAUAACCUCUGAAACCAGCGAGGGUCAUAAAGCUACUGACUGCGAAUGAUUAAGUGGCCACAAAUAAAACACUGGUAUUACCACAUGUAAAUUCUUUCCCUGCAGUUUAUGCCUCCGCAAACAGUGAUUCAACUGCAGGUGUCUGUCAAGAGACAGUAGAGUUUUGUCCUUCUGGAAGCCUCACUGUAUGUGAAGUCAAGAAACAAUGCCCCUGCCACUGUCUAGCUAUAGCCUCAAUCAAAUCAUUUCACCUCUCUUAGCCUCUGCUUCCUCUUUUAACUGACAGGGCAUUCAGUGGCUGUGCGUCUGGGCCUCACUGCUCUCCCCAGAAGGCAUUUGAAAAAAAAAAGGAAGGCAUUUUUGGUUGUCAAAAUGACAGGGUGGGCGAAAAAUGAUAGGAUGGAGGUAGCUUCUGGCACUUAGUAGGCAAAUUUUCUAUGGUGAGUUGAGCAGACUCAUGAAAGAACGAAUUGUCCCUCCUAUAGUGUAAAUAUACCCUCCUAAGAAACACUGGGCCAUAGCUUGUGAAAGUGAAAGGGUUUAAAUUAGUAGUAAGGGACUGUCCCAGGCAAGCUGGCAUAUAGGGGCCAAACAGCCACAAUCCAAGUCCACUUGUGCUUGCAUUGUCUUCCUGCAUUCUGGCCCUGUUUGCCCCACAAAUGACCAGGUCCCAAGCUCUGCUGAACAGCCCUCAGGGAAGGGGACAGAUAGGUCCAGACCAAAUCCUUCCACUGUCUUUAUUUUACUAGGAAAACUAGCAAUAGACUUAAAGUUAACUCACUUGUUUAUCCCUUAAUUUGGUUAUGCUUUAGUCCCAGAGGCCCCUCAUUUCUCCCCUUUCCAGACCUUCAGAGCCUUCGGCACUGCCAGCCCUCAAGUAUGGCAGCUGCUUGAAGCAUUUGCUUGGGGUGAGUUGGGGAAAGAGGAGGAAGAGUAGAGCCAGCUCUUCCCUGCAGCUGUGGCUAACCGAGGCAAGCUGUGACACGGAGCUCACUCCAUCUCAGUCAGAGCCCACCCUGAAGCCAUAUCUGUGGGUGCAAAGUUAUUGUGACACAACCCACCACACAGUGUCAGGGGAGAAACUGAGCAUGGUAAUUGAGGUGCCAGGUGAUUCUUGCACCACUUUUUUGGACUGCCAUUUAGAGAGGGAAAAUAAAAGCCAAAUCAGGAAUCAUUUCCACUCUGUUAACAUCUCACUAAAGGAAGCAAUCAAGUCCAGGUGGGUUUUAUGUUUCUCAGCCCCUGUACAUGGACAAAGACUGGGAUUCCAGAUUUUCCUAACUAGCCCUAGGUUUUUCUCCUAGGACAUUUUCUUUCUGCUUCUAAAAUUGUAUUUUACUCUUUAAAAAAAAAUCUGUUGUGCAGAAUUAUAUAAGGUUGAUAUGAUGGCCUAGACUGAUUGCUUAAAUAUGGACUUGGACAGUUAUGGAAAAGCACUUUUGUUUGUGUCAUGGAAUUAAAGUUACCACACACACAAUUGUCUAUUUUCAAACCUAAUGGAUUACAUCUUAUAUGAAUAAAAGAGUAUAGCAAACAAAAGGGCAUAAAAUUUUUAUGCCAGAAACAAAGUCGAUGUCUGAAUUUAACUGGAAAAAAACUGUAGAAAUUUGUGUCUGACAAUUGCAAACAGUUCUCUUUCCUUGUUUUUUCUUUUACCUUCUCUCCUUACUAUUUGAAGUUAUACCUUUGGGAACACAUAUCUUCUCUACAUUAUAGAAACGUGGCAAUAAAUCAUGGUAACAAAUAAA
Homo sapiens (human) is the source of this 37895-nucleotide non-coding RNA. Lineage: Eukaryota; Metazoa; Chordata; Mammalia; Primates; Hominidae. The record is from RefSeq and is a predicted model, not a curated record.